This 216-nucleotide ribosomal RNA is filed under the name uncultured bacterium. RNAcentral's name for it is "partial 16S ribosomal RNA". It matches the Rfam family "Bacterial small subunit ribosomal RNA", at positions 120 to 334 of the family's 1533-position model. The record is from RNAcentral.
AGCAACCUCGCCGAUCUGGAGGGGAGUAGCCGGCCCAACGGCCGGGUAAUACCGCAUACGCUUUUCGAGUGGAGUCACUUGGAAAGGAAACCUCCGGGGCAGAUCGAGGGGCUCGCGGCCUAUCAGCUAGUUGGCGGUGUAACGGACCACCAAGGCAUCGACGGGUAGCUGGUCUGAGAGGAUGGCCAGCCACAUUGGGACUGAGAGACGGCCCAG